CCUCUUUCCGACCCGUCUUGAAACACGGACCAAGGAGUCUAACAUGCGCGCGAGUCGCGGGGUAUCGAGCGUACUUCGGUGCGUUCGUUAUGUUGCGAAACCCGUACAUGUUGAAGGCGUAAUGAAAGUGAAUGGGGAAGAUGGUGUUCCGAGUACACGUUCCGCGAUCGUCGGUAUCGCGGCCGGGCACCCGCAUUCCCAGGGCGUCUCAACGGCCCGUCGUUGAUGCGGACAGUCGUCUUUCGGGGCGGCUGUCGGUCGGCGACGAACCGAGGCGCACCUAUAGCGUGCACGUUGGUACCCGAAAGAUGGUGAACUAUGCCUGGCCAGGAUGAAGUCAGGGGAAACCCUGAUGGAGGUCCGCAGCGAUUCUGACGUGCAAAUCGAUCGUCUGAGCUGGGUAUAGGGGCGAAAGACUAAUCGAACCAUCUAGUAGCUGGUUCCCUCC
RNAcentral lists this ribosomal RNA (448 nucleotides) under Aonidiella inornata. RNAcentral's name for it is "partial 28S ribosomal RNA". It matches the Rfam family "Eukaryotic large subunit ribosomal RNA", at positions 637 to 962 of the family's 3401-position model. The record is from RNAcentral. Lineage: Eukaryota; Metazoa; Arthropoda; Insecta; Hemiptera; Diaspididae.